RNAcentral lists this long non-coding RNA (381 nucleotides) under Ananas comosus (pineapple). RNAcentral describes it as "long non-coding RNA (ACOM_LNC034225)". The record is from RNAcentral. Lineage: Eukaryota; Viridiplantae; Streptophyta; Magnoliopsida; Poales; Bromeliaceae.
AAUAUUCUCAGUCAAGUCCCUCACAGCGCGCGUAUUUUACACAUAUGCACCUCCAUGUCCGAUCUCACGCAAUUCGGCACAUAAAAUAUAGGGUCUCUUCGCGAUUUAUCCGGUUUGCCACUUUGACCCCUCAGCGAACAUCUCGCUUUUUCCGAAGAUCCGUCCGUCGGAUUUUCGAUCCGACAGUGCCAUCGCAUUCAGCAUGACGAGGGUAAUAAAACUACAAUCUUGUUUCGUUAGAUUUGGUCAUAGAUUCGCGACGGAACCCAUCCGCUCUCUAAUUAAUCCGUAUAACGCACAUAUACCAAAGUAUAAACCCUAUAACCUUUAAUUCAAAUUCAAAUUUGAAUUCCCUACCACCAGUAGGUACCAGAAACAACU